RNAcentral lists this small RNA (29 nucleotides) under Bombyx mori (domestic silkworm). RNAcentral's name for it is "ovarian small RNA-8909". The record is from RNAcentral. Lineage: Eukaryota; Metazoa; Arthropoda; Insecta; Lepidoptera; Bombycidae.
UGUACGACAAUUGGGACAACACCUACAGA